GGUGGUGUGAUUACAAUGCUGACAUCCUAAGAAGCAGCAAAUGUUACUGUGAGUGGGAACCUGAAAAGAUGGCUCACCUGGCUGGGACAAGCUUAGCUAAGGCAGCAUUUAAUAGGCAAGCUGUGCACCUCCUCAGUCCAGUCUGGACACCCAAAUCUUGACUGCAGUUGUCCGUUGAGGGCUACCUUAUUCAAGAACUGAAGAGGGUUCUUUAACUUUAUGAAGCCAGCACAAAGAACCAGA
Molecule: long non-coding RNA, 243 nt
Filed under: Homo sapiens (human)
Lineage: Eukaryota; Metazoa; Chordata; Mammalia; Primates; Hominidae
Description: long non-coding RNA NONHSAT169352
Source: RNAcentral